CGUGUAGGCGGCUUAUUAAGUCAGAUGUGAAAGCCCAACGGCUUAACCGUGGAACUGCAUUUGAAACUGAUAGGCUUGAGUAUGAGAAGGGGUAGUGGAAUUCCCAGUGUAGCGGUGAAAUGCGUAGAUAUUGGGAAGAACACCAGUAGCGAAGGCGACUACCUGGCUCAUUACUGACGCUAAUGCGCGAAAGCGCGGGGAGCAAACA
RNAcentral lists this ribosomal RNA (208 nucleotides) under uncultured bacterium. Its description in RNAcentral is "partial 16S ribosomal RNA". It matches the Rfam family "Bacterial small subunit ribosomal RNA", at positions 568 to 774 of the family's 1533-position model. The record is from RNAcentral.